Rhipicephalus sanguineus (brown dog tick) is the source of this 817-nucleotide RNA transcript. RefSeq lists it as uncharacterized. NCBI's taxonomy places the organism in Eukaryota, Metazoa, Arthropoda, Arachnida, Ixodida, Ixodidae. The record is from RefSeq and is a predicted model, not a curated record. The transcript is spliced from 3 exons.
GUGCAUCACAGUCGAGAGUUGCACACGCUAGGUGGCGACAGUUGCACUCGGCGGCUUGUCGUUUUUGGAGCUCUCUCAAACCGAAACUGAGAGUGGUUAGUAAUGAGAAGCUUGUAAAUAAUUAUCUGUUGCGUGCUGCAGCAAACGAUGUGCCGUGUUAUGACUAACAGGCCCCCAGCAACACAUUGCAGCAAAAAAACGCGAGGCCAAAAUUUUUGUGUCAGUACUCUUAACGUCUUGUGGCAGUUAAUAGCAGCAGAAGAGAAUAAGUUUGUCUAAAGAGCAGUAAUGUAACAGAGUCAACUAGAGGAGAAGAGGUACUCCUACUGAGACUCAAACCUUGGUCCUUUGUGUGCAAAUCAAGCAUUCUGUUGCUGCCAUGGUGGUUGAUUUGAGUAAACAGUGCUGAAAACAACCCUCAAUAAUACUGACACAAGCAGUGUUACUUUCUUUGGCUUCCUUUUGUGAAGCCGUUAUGAGCAUUGUUUUGUUAUAGGUCACUCUAGUUUGAUCGAAGCUGCACUUGCUGUCCUGCUCUUGCAGGAUGGAGGUGACCAACAAAGAAGCAUAAAUAUGUUCUAUAUUGAGCUUUUAAACAGGUGAUCAAAGUUACUUGUGACUUCAUGCCAUGUGUCAAAUUGUGCCAUCUUUUCAGGCCCGAAACGUGCACCUCCGCUUGGGGCUGCGGGUGUUCUUGAACACGAAGCCCGAAAUGUCUCAGCAUCUGCAGUGCCUAGUGCCAACCACCAAAAUCACUGUGUUGCUACACCACCUGCAUCAGAGACGUGCCAAGUUCCCGCUCCUCUGGAGGAGUCUG